CUUUCCAAAGCCCCAACACUAUUUACUAAUGUUUAAAACCAAAAUUUGAGUGUUUAAACAGUAAUGAACAGUACUCAUCUCCUUCCCCAUCUUAUUUGCUUCUUAUCUGUUCUUUCCCCAUCUACUAUGGACACCCAAUUUCAAACCUUUAGAACCCAACUUAAUGAUUUUGGCAAUUUGCGUGAAAGAAUAUGUGCUAUUACACUUCAAAACUAGAAUUAUGUAUGCUAAUGUUCUUGUUCAUCAAUCUCGUCCUAUUUCUGGUGGAGUUCAACUCAAUAAUUCAGUGAGUUCUCUCCCAAUUUCUAGGUCUUUAAUCUGACUGGGGAAUUUGGAUAAUGAAUAUCAAGAGAGAUAGAUGAAGAUGAUGUAGGCUUGUUACUAUUCAUUAUUGUAAGUAUUGUGUCUUCAAGUUGGUACGAUGAUGAUGAUGUUUUGGUUUAUACUGGUUGAGGUGGUGAAAAUUACAAUAGUAGCGCUACAGAAGCUUCUGAUCAGAAGCUCAAAAGUGGAAAUCUUGCAUUAGAAAGAAGUGUACGAUGUGGGGAUCAAAUUAGGGUCAUUCGAUGUAUUCGAAAUAUGAACAAUUUUGCACUUAAUAUUUGUGUUUAUGAUUACAUUUAUACUACUCAGGAUUCUUGGAUUGAUAAAGCAAAAUCUGGGGCCAAUCUUUUAAAGUAUAGGAUGGUUAGUUUACCUGGGCAGCCUUUAUACUAUCUUUACUCUAAUUCAUUAUGAUCUAUGUUGAAAUAUAGUGACUCGAACAAGUCAUUAUAUGGGAUGAAGAUUUGGGAAACGGAUAACGCAGGUCGCCAAGCAGAAGGUUGUGCGCGGGGCGCGGAGUUUUACGCGGGGCACGGAGAAGGUUCUACCUUGGGCAGAUUGUUGUGCGCGAGCCGCAGAGUUUUACGCGGGGCGCGGAGUUUUACGCGAGGCGCGGAGCACUACGAUUUUCGCGGGAAGUUAGUUUUGGCACGUUUUUAGCCGGUUACUUUUAGUUUUUGACGGUUUCUUUUGUAUUUUCUUAACCCUAAUUUCCUUUUAUUAUGAGGUAUACUAUAUAAAGGCUCCAUAUAAUUAGAAUUAGAGAAUAUGAUGCAAUGCAAAACACAAAGUGAGGAAAAGUAAGAGAGAAAAAGCUUAGAGAGUCAUUGUUGUGGUUUCUCGUGUUCAUCUUGUAAUCUCUCGGUUUAUAGUGAAAAGUUUAUUUUCGGUGCCGGUGGAUGUAGUUAUCACGUUGAUAGUGAACAACGUUAAUUUCUCGGUGUAAUUUUCUUUAUUGUUUGUUUGAAUCUUUAUUGCUUUUCAUGAUUGUUUUCAAUCUUUGUUUUCGUUGUCGCACAGUACUCUGUUAUGUAAAGAAGUUCACUUUUUUCUUGUUAUCCAUUUUUGCCUCUCUUGUUGAUAGUUUCUGAACUUGUUCUGUGUGUUUUUAAUGUUUGCUCAUGCUUACACUCUUAGGAAGCAUCAUCACUGCGAUGUUACAUUUAAAACUAUAUGUGGCCAUCAACUUAUUUUAGCACCCUUUAGAUUGAAUUUUGGCUAAUUAGUGUAGCAACAGUAUUUCUUAUUUUGCUUAAAUAUAUGCUACCCAGAAAGAAUUGCAGUAUUAAUAUUUAUUAUGCAGCAAUCACUUAUGAAAAUUGGACUUCAUUUUUGAUUUCAUAUUGAUUGUUGAAUUGUUCUUUUAUCUUUAAACAUCUUCAAAUUCAUU
Amaranthus tricolor (Joseph's coat) is the source of this 1714-nucleotide long non-coding RNA. RefSeq lists it as uncharacterized. The transcript has 3 exons. The record is from RefSeq and is a predicted model, not a curated record. NCBI's taxonomy places the organism in Eukaryota, Viridiplantae, Streptophyta, Magnoliopsida, Caryophyllales, Amaranthaceae.